RNAcentral lists this ribosomal RNA (2040 nucleotides) under Triticum aestivum (bread wheat). Its description in RNAcentral is "partial small subunit ribosomal RNA". The record is from RNAcentral. Lineage: Eukaryota; Viridiplantae; Streptophyta; Magnoliopsida; Poales; Poaceae.
AUGGCCGGCACCAGCGAUCGUGGAUCCCUCAUGGAGGACUGGAUGGCCAUGCCGCCGACACCCAGCCCGAGAACGCUCAUGUCAAGCUUCUUGAAUGAAGACUUCAGCUCUGGUCAAUUCUCCAAUUUUUUCGGCGAACAUGUGAGCAACAAGCCCCAUGAUCAAUCAGAGAAGAGAGGAGAGCUUGUGGAUUUGAGGGAGCAAGUGCCUGCUCAGUCAGCUACAGAUACAGCUACACCCCAAAAGGAUUUUUCCCUGCAACCAAAUUCGUUCAAUGCUAAUCAGAAAUCAAACCCACAGGGAUCUCUAGCUGAGCGCAGGGCUUCGAGAGCUGGUUUCAGUAUCCCCAAGAUUGAUACAUCUCGUGUGGGUUCAUCCACAGUUAUUCGAUCACCCAUAGCAAUUCCACCUGGUCUUAGUCCAACUACUCUUCUUGAGUCACCGGUCUUUCUCUACAAUGCUAUGGCACAGCCUUCUCCAACCACUGGCAAACUGUUCGUUGCUUCAGAGGCUAACUCAACAAUGCCACCAGAUAGCACGUUCAGUAACGAUGUUUUUUCCUUCCAACCCCACUCUGGCCCAACAAGUUACUCAAAUGUGGAAAAGGGUUACACUGUUUGCCACCAAAACCAGUCGUUGUCAAAUAUUCAUCAGCAGGGAUCCAGUCUUCAGUCAAGCUUUACUGCAGCCAAGGACAGUGCCGACGAAACAAUCGUUAAACCGAAGACAUCUGACUCUGUGUUCAGUGAUAAUCACUCUUCUGAAGAACAGGAAGAUGACGAGGGAGACCAAAAUGAAGAAUACUCUUCUGCCACAAAUAGCAACCCAGCUGAAGAUGGAUAUAACUGGAGAAAAUAUGGACAGAAGCAAGUUAAGAGCAGUGAGCAUCCAAGGAGCUAUUACAAGUGCACACACCCAGAUUGCCCUGUCAAGAAAAAGGUGGAACGCUCUCAAGAUGGUCAGAUAACAGAGAUAGUCUACAAGAGUUCUCACAAUCACCCUUUGCCGCCUCCAAACCGCCGCUCAGGUAUCCCUUCGUUGCAAAUUAAUGAUCCACAAGUCCAUCUUCUAGAGAAACCUGGUUUGCACACAGGGGUCAACACUGCAUCUUUGUGGGAAAAUGGUAAAAGUGAGUGCAUUCAAGAUAUGCAAGGUGUUGAGGGAAGACCAGCUGCUGGCCCUCCUGUAUCUGCAUAUGGUGAUACAUCUAUCAUGGAGUCCCAAGAUGCAGCUGAUGUCUCGUCAACGCUGUCCAAUGAGAUUGAUAGAGCAACACAAGGCACCAUUUCUUUAGACUGUGAUGUAGGUGAAGAUGAGACUGAAUCCAAAAGAAGGAAACUGGAUGCUUUAGCUGCUGUUACCAUUCCUACUGCGACCACCACCAGUUCAAUUGACAUGGUGGCUGCAGCAUCAAGAGCUGUCCGGGAGCCUCGUGUUGUGGUUCAGACAACAAGCGAGGUUGACAUCCUUGAUGAUGGUUAUCGCUGGCGCAAGUAUGGUCAGAAGGUUGUUAAAGGAAACCCAAAUCCAAGGAGCUACUACAAAUGUACGCACCAGGGCUGUUCAGUGCGCAAGCACGUGGAGAGAGCGUCGCAUGAUCUGAAAUCCGUGAUCACGACAUACGAGGGGAAGCACAACCAUGAAGUUCCAGCAGCCAGAAAUAGCGGGAACGCGGGCAGUGCUCCAGCAUCUGCGCCGCAGGCCAAUCUCUCACACCGCAGGCAAGAACAAGCGCAAGGCAGCUAUUCUCAGUUUGGUGGCGCGUCUCCCUUCGGUUCCUUCGGCCUUCCGCCUAGAGGCCAUCUGGGAGCGGCAGGCAACUUCCACUUCGGGAUGGCCCCUCCAGGCAUGUCGAUGCCGCCGAUGCCCGCCGCUCGCCAUCCGUCAAUGAUGCAGGGCUACCCGGGGCUCAUGAUGCAGGAAGGACAGAUGAUGCAGGAAGGACAGAUGAAGGCGGAGCCAGACCAGCAGUCUGGCUUCGCAGCGUCAUCGGCUUACCAACAGAUGAUGGGCAGGCCCCCCUUUGGUCCCCAGAUGUAA